GCACUGGUGUAGCUCAGUGGUUACUUCGACCAACAAUUCUAUAUGAAUUAUGAUCUCCAUUCCUCUCUGGGAUCGAAACGCGGGCGCUGUCCAGUAUUUUA
This 101-nucleotide vault RNA is filed under the name Sander lucioperca (pikeperch). RNAcentral's name for it is "Vault RNA (ENSSLUG00000005881.1)". It matches the Rfam family "Vault RNA". From Rfam's summary of the family: This family of RNAs are found as part of the enigmatic vault ribonucleoprotein complex. The complex consists of a major vault protein (MVP), two minor vault proteins (VPARP and TEP1), and several small untranslated RNA molecules. It has been suggested that the vault complex is involved in drug resistance. The record is from Rfam by way of RNAcentral. Lineage: Eukaryota; Metazoa; Chordata; Actinopteri; Perciformes; Percidae.